Molecule: ribosomal RNA, 243 nt
Filed under: uncultured bacterium
Lineage: Bacteria
Description: partial 16S ribosomal RNA
Rfam family: Bacterial small subunit ribosomal RNA
Source: RNAcentral
GAUCCUGGCUCAGGACGAACGCUGGCGGCGUGCCUAACACAUGCAAGUCGAACGGAACUUCUUUAAUUGAUUUCUUCGGAAUGAUUUUGAUUAAGUUUAGUGGCGGACGGGUGAGUAACGCGUGAGUAACCUGCCUCUGAGAGGGGAAUAACAUUCUGAAAAGAAUGCUAAUACCGCAUAACAUAUAUUUAUCGCAUGGUAGAUAUAUCAAAGAUUUAUCGCUUAGAGAUGGACUCGCGUCCG